Danio rerio (zebrafish) is the source of this 46-nucleotide non-coding RNA. The record is from Rfam. Lineage: Eukaryota; Metazoa; Chordata; Actinopteri; Cypriniformes; Danionidae.
UAAUUGGCCAUUUUUAAGGCCACAAAUUUAAAAAGUAAAUAAUCUU